GAUGGACGCUGGCGGCGUGCCUAAUACAUGCCAGUCGAGCGAACAGAUAAGGAGCUUGCUCCUUUGAAGUUAGCGGCGGACGGGUGAGUAACACGUGGGUAACCUACCUAUAAGACUGGGAUAACUUCGGGAAACCGGAGCUAAUACCGGAUAACAUUUAGAACCGCAUGGUUCUAAAGUGAAAGAUGGUUUUGCUAUCACUUAUAGAUGGACCCGCGCCGUAUUAGCUAGUUGGUAAGGUAACGGCUUACCAAGGCGACGAUACGUAGCCGACCUGAGAGGGUGAUCGGCCACACUGGAACUGAGACACGGUCCAGACUCCUACGGGAGGCAGCAGUAGGGAAUCUUCCGCAAUGGGCGAAAGCCUGACGGAGCAACGCCGCGUGAGUGAUGAAGGGUUUCGGCUCGUAAAACUCUGUUAUUAGGGAAGAACAAAUGUGUAAGUAACUGUGCACAUCUUGACGGUACCUAAUCAGAAAGCCACGGCUAACUACGUG
Molecule: ribosomal RNA, 497 nt
Filed under: uncultured bacterium
Lineage: Bacteria
Description: partial 16S ribosomal RNA
Rfam family: Bacterial small subunit ribosomal RNA
Source: RNAcentral